Molecule: ribosomal RNA, 468 nt
Filed under: uncultured bacterium
Lineage: Bacteria
Description: partial 16S ribosomal RNA
Rfam family: Bacterial small subunit ribosomal RNA
Source: RNAcentral
GGUGAACGCUGGCGGCGUGCUUAAUACAUGCAAGUCGAACGGAAAGGCCCUGCUUUUGUGGGGUUCUCGAUUGGCGAACGGGUGAGAAUCACGCGUGUAACCCGUCCUUGUCUUUGGGAUAACUUCUGGAAACUGGGGCUAAUAUCGGAUAGGAGCUCCUGCUGCACGGGGGGGGUUGGAAAGUGUCGGCGGUUGUGGCUGGUCUCGCUGGUUAUGCGCUUGUUGGUGGGGUAGUGGCUUACCAAGGUUUUGACGGGUAGCCGGCAUGAGAGGGUGAACGGGCACAUUGGGACUGAGGUACGGCGCAGAAUGCUACGGGAGGCAGUAGUGGAGAGUAUUGCACAAUGGGGGGGAGCCUGAUGCAGAAACCCCGCGUGCGGGAUGACGGGCUUCGGGUUGUAAACCGCUUUCGCAGGUGAUGAAGAGGGCGUGACGGUAAUGAGUAAGAAAGCACCGGCUAACUACGUG